UCACGCCGUACCCAGUGCCCGCUCCCUCGUCUUUCAGCCGGCGGCCGUGGCGUCUGCCCGCUUUACCGGAACGUCUUCUCCCUCCUGCUCAACGGCAACAACCCCCGGGCGGUGAUGGAGAUCGCGGGCCGCUUCGGUCCCGACCAGGAGGCCGUGGCCGCCCUGGGUCAGCUGCAGGCCCGCCUGGAUGAUCUCGCUGUCCCCCACAAACGGAAGAUCAAGGUCAUCCUCGACAAGGUUUACCAGGACGUGCACUGCCAAGCCGGCCAGUGAGGAUGCUCAGAGCUGGUGCUGCCGUUCCCGUGCCCCGCCGGGAUCCCCGGAUGUCCGGGGGCUAUGAUCCCAGCCCCCUCCUCCAGCCUCCUUGAGCCCCCGAGAGAGGGCGGAGGCCGCGUAGCCGGUGACAGAGCUUCUCCCACCCAGAUGAGUCAAAUAAAAGAAGUGCAGCAGCCUA
Long non-coding RNA from Ornithorhynchus anatinus (platypus), 454 nucleotides. RefSeq lists it as uncharacterized. The transcript has 2 exons. The record is from RefSeq and is a predicted model, not a curated record. Lineage: Eukaryota; Metazoa; Chordata; Mammalia; Monotremata; Ornithorhynchidae.